CUGGAAUUAUAGGUGUGUGCCACACCUGGCUAACCUGGUCAAGUCCCCUUUUUACAUAGAGGAGAUCUGCUUUUCACCUACAUACUUGACGCGCUUCAAUGGCACCCAAAAAUUGUUGGUGAAGGCUGAGCUGAGGGUCCUCCUUCCAGCGCAGGGCCUGGCGCCCUGCUUGCUGCGAUGCACAAACGUCUCUUCCCACCUCCUUGCUGCAGUCCUGGGCAUAUGAAGAUUUUGCCCGCCUCCUUCACCUUUUUCUGUCUCCAUCUGUUCUUAUUUCCUUGCCCUCUGACUUUCCUUCAGACCCCCUUGUCAAACUGUGGCGUACGUCUUUGUUUGUUUUGGUACCGGGGAUAAAACUAAGGACAUUGUGCUUACAAGGCAGGCCCGCUGCCACUGAGCUAAAUGCCCUGCCCUUGUGACUUACGUUUUAAACUUUGACUUUGGUGUAUUUUCUUCUUAGAAGCCUAUCUUUGGUUUCUGAAUUGGAAAGCAAAUGGCCAAGUCUUAAAAUCUGUUUCCAUAUUUCUCAAAGAUAAUGCCUGUUUUCCAAAGUGGUUGUAACAUUGAUUCCCAUUCCCAACAGCAACAUAUGAAGGUUCCUAUUUUGAGAUAAGUUCUCCCUAAGGUGCCCAGGCUUGCCUUGAACUUGGGAUCCUCCAACUCUACCUGCCUAGUAGUUGGGAUGACAGCAUGGCUCACUGUGCCUGCCCACUUUUCAUUUUCUUAAUGUUUUUGAAACAAAAACAAAGUAGCUUUAUUGAACUACGAUUGACUCAUAGUAAAUUAAAAAUUUUAAAUAUACAACAUAAAUCUUGGCACGUACCCAACUGUGAACCCAUAUGUACAAUAAAAAAAACAAAUAUAUCCAUCCCAUCAACUUUUUUUAUCCCCAUAAUCAGUUCCUUCCUGCCCUUCCAGGUUUCCUAAUAGCCACUAACCUGCUUUAUAUCACCACAUAUUACUUUGCAUUUUCUAGAACUUUAUACAAAUAUUCAUUAUAUAUAUUUUCUUAAGUUCAUCCACUUUAUGUGUCAGUAAUCAGCUUCAGAUGCUGAGUUGUGUGUGUGUGUUGGACAGUGGAAUUGUUUCCAGUUUUUAACUAUUACAAAUAAAGAUGCUGUUUUAGUUAACUUUCUUGUAGAUAAGACACAAUACCUGACACCCACAGUUUAAAGGAGGAGGGUCAGGAAUGUAGGUUAGCAGCACAGGGCCUGCCUGGCAAGCACAAAGCCCUGAAUUCGAUCUAGGUACAAAAACAAAAACAAAAAGAAUAGCCAGACAGAACCAGCUCAUUCGUGCCGCUGCCUGCCUCACAAGCACGAGGACCCAAGUUCGAUCCCAGGAGCUCAAAACAAA
Fukomys damarensis (Damara mole-rat) is the source of this 1356-nucleotide long non-coding RNA. RefSeq lists it as uncharacterized. The transcript is spliced from 3 exons. The record is from RefSeq and is a predicted model, not a curated record. NCBI's taxonomy places the organism in Eukaryota, Metazoa, Chordata, Mammalia, Rodentia, Bathyergidae.